Molecule: transfer RNA, 102 nt
Filed under: Nostoc sp. LEGE 12450
Lineage: Bacteria; Bacillati; Cyanobacteriota; Cyanophyceae; Nostocales; Nostocaceae
Description: tRNA-Tyr
Rfam family: tRNA
About the family: Transfer RNA (tRNA) molecules are approximately 80 nucleotides in length. Their secondary structure includes four short double-helical elements and three loops (D, anti-codon, and T loops). Further hydrogen bonds mediate the characteristic L-shaped molecular structure. tRNAs have two regions of fundamental functional importance: the anti-codon, which is responsible for specific mRNA codon recognition, and the 3' end, to which the tRNAs corresponding amino acid is attached (by aminoacyl-tRNA synthetases). tRNAs cope with the degeneracy of the genetic code in two manners: having more than one tRNA (with a specific anti-codon) for a particular amino acid; and 'wobble' base-pairing, i.e. permitting non-standard base-pairing at the 3rd anti-codon position.
Source: RNAcentral
GGGUCGGUGGCCGAGUCUGGCUGAAGGCGACAGUCUGUAAAACUGUUCUUUUUUGCACGCAGGUACCCUACGGGAAGCAAGCUACAAAUCCUGCUCGACCCA